This 1698-nucleotide long non-coding RNA is filed under the name Homo sapiens (human). RNAcentral describes it as "HSALNT0329956". Lineage: Eukaryota; Metazoa; Chordata; Mammalia; Primates; Hominidae. The record is from RNAcentral.
CUUGUUUUUGUGAUUGUCUGUUAUUUUUCAAUAACUAAUGUAUAGGAAUAGAUUGAAAUGGAGAUUUCUCCGAAACUGUGCUGGAUGAAUGCCUCAAGGGGUUCACACAACCUGUUCCGGGAGUUGGUGACCAUUGUUUGUGUCCACGUUCAAUUGAGUUCAAAUUUAAUAUUUUUUUCCUCCACACCAAGGAGAGGUAUUUGGUAAUUAGAGAAUGAAUAAUGGAGAUUAACAAUGUAUAAUGAAGAUUAUUAUACAUUAUAAUCCUCAUGUAUAUAUACAUGAGUUGAUGGGGGAGGCAUCAGGGAAGGUAGCCCUGGAGAAACGAAAUCCAAACCAAAAAUAAGGUAUCCAAGAAUCUCUAUGAAAAAACUGUGAAGACCCAGGAAAAAAAGGCCUCUAUAACAUGAGAGGAUCAGGGAGAAGUAGGAUCAACGUUUUUAGAGUUAGUUGGGGUUUUGUUUGUUUGUUUUGUUUGAGUUGGAGUCUCACUCUGUCGCCCAGGCUGGAGUGUGGUGGUGCGAUCUUGGCUCACUGCAACCUCCACCUCCUGGGUCCAAGCAAUUCUCCUGCCUCAGCCUUCCCCAGUAGCUGGGAUUACAGGCCUGGCACACAGUGGGUGCUCAAUAGGUAUUUGAGGAAUAGGUGGAUAAAUGGAUGGAUAGAUGGCUGGGAUUACAGGUGCCACCAUGCCCAGAUCAUUUUUUUUGUAUUUUUAAUAGAGACGGGGUUUCUCUAUGUUGGCCAGGUUGGUCUCGAACUCCUGACCUCAAAUGAUCCGCUGGCCUCAGCCUCCCAAAGUGCUGGGAUUACAGGCAUGAGCCACCGUGCCCAGCCUAGAGUUAGCUGUUUUCAUAAAGGGCCUUUGCCCUUACGCAACUUCAACCCGUAUUAAAAAUCAGUGGUUCUCAAUCAGGAGCGAUUUUUCCCCAGGGGAUAUUUAGCAGUUUCUGCAGACAUUGUUAGUUGUUGCAUCUGGGGUUGUUCUAGUGGCAUCUAGUGAGUAGAGGUCAGGGAUGGUGGUAAACUUUCUACAAUGCUCAGGACAGCUCCCCAUAACAAAGAAUUACCUGGCCCUAACAGUCCAUAGUGCUGGGGUUGAAAAAUCCUAUCAUAAAUGGGGGCAGGGCAGGCCUGACAAGUGUCUAUAGUGGUUGUGGAUUCACUUGUUUAUGCAUUCAUGCAUUCAGCAAAUACUUAUUGAGUGCCCACUAUGUUUUAAACACCAUUCUGGGCAUAGUUGAAGCCCACCUGUCACCCAUUAACCAAAAAUAACCAUCUCAAAUAGCUAGCCUGGUUGUGUUCCUUUGUUACUCAGCUUAACAUUUUUACCAUUAGAAUGGUGACAAAGCUGGUCUUAUUGCCUGAAGAAAGAAGAUAUUGAAAUGCAUGGAUAUUAUUUGCAAGGAUGGUCACUGAAGAAUUGUUUGCAAUUGUGGAAACAACCUAAGUGUCAACAGAAUGGUUGCCUAACUGUGAUACAGUGGUACUAUGGCAUACUAAGCUGCCAAUGAAAAAGAAAGGCAAAUCUCUUUGUGGUAACAUGGAAAACAACCAUGGAGAUAUUAUCAGCUGGAAUUUUUUUUCAGAAUUGCAGGUAGAAUAUGAUUGAUGAGAUGUGUGUUUUUUUAAAUUGGUGUGUAUGUGUGUGUGUGUUUGCAUGUGCAUGCAAUUGCUGGAGAAAUUCUCACCAAAUUC